GACGAACGCUGGCGGCGUGCUUAACACAUGCAAGUCGAACGGAAAGGCCCUGCGUUUGUGGGGUGCUCGAGUGGCGAACGGGUGAGUAACACGUGAGUAACCUGCCCUUGACUUUGGGAUAACUUCAGGAAACUGGGGCUAAUACCGGAUAGGAGAUCCUGCUGCAUGGUGGGGGUUGGAAAGUUUCGGCGGUGGGGGAUGGACUCGCGGCUUAUCAGCUGGUUGGGGGGGUAGUGGCUUACCAAGGCUUUGACGGGUAGCCGGCCUGGGAGGGUGACCGGCCACAUGGGGACUGAGGUACGGCCCAGACGCCUACGGGAGGCAGUGGUGGGGAAUAUUGCACAAUGGGCGGAAGCCUGAUGCAGCAACGCCGCGUGCGGGAUGCUGGCCUUCGGGGUGUAAACCGCUUUCGCCGGUGCCGAAGCGUGAGUGACGGUAAUGGGUAAAGAAGCACCGGCUAACUACGUG
This 468-nucleotide ribosomal RNA is filed under the name uncultured bacterium. Its description in RNAcentral is "partial 16S ribosomal RNA". It matches the Rfam family "Bacterial small subunit ribosomal RNA", at positions 28 to 507 of the family's 1533-position model. The record is from RNAcentral.